GGACCCCGGAGGGUCCGAACUGUCUCAGCGGAGAAAGGGGACAUAGUGUGCUGGCGGGCGCUGGCUGUUGGCGUUAGAGCUCCGGCUGUGGCUCAGUCUGGGGCGCGGUUCUUGCCAACACACCAUGUCCAGAGACAGCUGACAAAAAAACUAAAUUGAAACCAGCUCUGGAUGGGAUAACAACACAGGGUCAUACUUACUUUACGGCAGGCACGUUAUUCGCCUUCUUACUCGCACUUACCGCUAUGGAUUCGCUCUUCAGGGGGCACUGAGACAUCCUACAGUGCCCUGGACGGCCCACCCCAACCAUGGUAUCCGUUGUCCAACAGUUUUGGAUACCCCAGAAUCGUCUCCCCGUUCCCCCUCUACAGCAUGGUGCACUACCCCUUCCUUACCUUAAUGAUCUACUCUUCCAUAGCGAAAUGAGAAUACUAAGCCAAGUGGAAUUUCAUUUCUACGUUAUAAAAGAAAAGUGCCUUUGUUGCGUCUGUCAGAUCGCCGGACUGGAAUGCUUCGACGACGGCUCCCCUGGAUAGCAAGACAAUUUGGUAGCGGAGGUGCCCUGGAUCUCCCUUUUUAUGUUCUUGCCAACCUGCAGGGACAACAUUAAACGACCAAAGGGUCUUUUAUUUAAAGUGUAUUCCUAGUGCCCUAGAAUGAGCUCACCCUACUUCCUAGGUUGUAUCGUCCGUUCAAUCACCGGACUGCAGAUAUGAAACCCAAUGUCUACCCUGUUUGCUGCCUAAGUUAUUCUGUUUUCUUUUUUUUUUAUUUCUUAUAUUUUUAUUCCAGGAUGUGUGUCAAGCUAAGUUUCUCUGUGUAUCGUUCUAAGUAUUGAACAUAUAAAAAGGAGCAUACAUCGGCCUACCUUGGCACCUACGGGCUGCUGGUGCAAAAUUCCCUCGGGGACACUGGAGCAGAUGGCGGCGGUGGAACCAAUGAUGAAGCUGGAGAUGCUGAUGAGAUGAUGAUGUUGUUGAGGAUGGAAAUGUUGACGUUGCCGUGGAUGACGAUGGUUAAAAUUGCAGUAGAGGUGGGUAUUUAUUAUUUGACAAAAAGUUUUUGUUGUUCUGUUUAGUCUUUGCUAUGUUUUAUUCGUGGCUCAAAUUAACGUUCUUUUUCAAAGCUUUUUAUAUUUCACAGGAUCUUUUUUCUUUAGCAUUAAUUAGCACUAAUAAGUUUAUUUAGCUUUAAGUUGAUCUAAAGUAACUUCAGCUUUUUUACUACAAAAGCUAGUCUUU
Long non-coding RNA from Stomoxys calcitrans (stable fly), 1241 nucleotides. RefSeq lists it as uncharacterized. The record is from RefSeq and is a predicted model, not a curated record. The transcript has 3 exons. NCBI's taxonomy places the organism in Eukaryota, Metazoa, Arthropoda, Insecta, Diptera, Muscidae.